UCCCUGGUGGCUCAGAUGGUAAAGAAUCUGUCUGAAAUGUAGGAGACCCAGGUUCAAUCCCUGGGUUGGGAA
Ovis aries (sheep) is the source of this 72-nucleotide transfer RNA. It matches the Rfam family "tRNA". Rfam says of the family: Transfer RNA (tRNA) molecules are approximately 80 nucleotides in length. The record is from Rfam. NCBI's taxonomy places the organism in Eukaryota, Metazoa, Chordata, Mammalia, Artiodactyla, Bovidae.